CAAGCGGUGGAGCAUGUGGUUUAAUUCGAUGCAACGCGAAGAACCUUACCUGGUCUUGACAUCCACGGAAGUUUUCAGAGAUGAAAAUGUGCCUUCGGGAACCGAGAGACAGGUGCUGCAUGGCUGUCUUCAGCUCGUGUUGUGAAAUGUUGGGUUAAGUCCCGCAACGAGCGCAACCCUUAUCUUUUGUUGCCAGCGGUCCGGCCGGGAACUCAAAGGAGACUGCCAGUGAUAAACUGGAGGAAGGGGGGGAUGACGUCAAGUCAUCAUGGCCCUUACGACCAGGGCUACACACGUGCUACAAUGGCGCAUACAAAGAGAAGCGACCUCGCGAGAGCAAGCGGACCUCAUAAAGUGCGUCGUAGUCCGGAUUGGAGUCUGCAUCUCGACUCCAUGAAGUCAGAAUCGCUAGUAAUCGUGGAUCAGAAUGCCACGGUGAAUACGUUCCCGGGCCUUGUACACUCC
Molecule: ribosomal RNA, 465 nt
Filed under: uncultured bacterium
Lineage: Bacteria
Description: bacterial SSU rRNA
Rfam family: Bacterial small subunit ribosomal RNA
Source: RNAcentral